This is a non-coding RNA of Pelobates cultripes (western spadefoot toad), 342 nucleotides long. The record is from the annotation of a GenBank genome assembly. NCBI's taxonomy places the organism in Eukaryota, Metazoa, Chordata, Amphibia, Anura, Pelobatidae.
UCUAUCCAUUGUGUUAACCAGGGCUCCCAGACCUUAAGAUAAUGCUUUCUCUUCCCCAAUGGAUUUCCUCCAUUUCCCUCAAACCUUCCACUCUCUGUAUCCAUUGCGAUUCGCACCAGACAUCCCAAGAAUAUUGCUGAACUGAAACAGUUCUGUAAAGAGGAAUGGUCAAGAAUUACUCCUGACCGUUGUGCACGUCUGAUCUGCAACUACAGGAAACGUUUGGUUGAAGUUAUUGCUGCCAAAGGAGGUUCAACCAGUUAUUAAAUCCAAGGGUUCACAUACCUUUUCCACCUGCACUGUGAAUGUUUACAUGGUGUGUUCAAUAAAAACAUGGCAACA